CAGUCGCCGCGGUAAUACAGAGGGUGCGAGCGUUAAUCGGAUUUACUGGGCGUAAAGCGUGCGUAGGCGGCUUCUCAAGUCGGAUGUGAAAUCCCUGAGCUUAACUUAGGAAUUGCAUUCGAUACUGGGAAGCUAGAGUAUGGGAGAGGAUGGUAGAAUUCCAGGUGUAGCGGUGAAAUGCGUAGAGAUCUGGAGGAAUACCGAUGGCGAAGGCAGCCAUCUGGCCUAAUACUGACGCUGAGGUACGAAAGCAUGGGGAGCAAACAGGAUUAGAUACCCCCGUAGUCCCUGUCUCUUAUAC
RNAcentral lists this ribosomal RNA (301 nucleotides) under uncultured bacterium. RNAcentral's name for it is "partial 16S ribosomal RNA". It matches the Rfam family "Bacterial small subunit ribosomal RNA", at positions 509 to 807 of the family's 1533-position model. The record is from RNAcentral.